Molecule: long non-coding RNA, 133 nt
Organism: Gracilinanus agilis (Agile Gracile Mouse Opossum)
Lineage: Eukaryota; Metazoa; Chordata; Mammalia; Didelphimorphia; Didelphidae
Exons: 3
Source: RefSeq, a predicted model, not a curated record
AGUGGUGACAAGCAUUGAUGGUGACAAAUCCUGCUGGGACAAUGGAGCUUUCAUUGAAAAAUGGUGUCAAGAAUGGUCCUGCUGGAGCUGUAAAAGAUGUGACAGAAGAAUCAAUAGCAGAUGAUGACAAGAG